This 24168-nucleotide long non-coding RNA is filed under the name Solanum lycopersicum (tomato). RNAcentral's name for it is "long non-coding RNA (SLYC_LNC001140)". The record is from RNAcentral. Lineage: Eukaryota; Viridiplantae; Streptophyta; Magnoliopsida; Solanales; Solanaceae.
GGCAAUAAAUAUUUAUUUUGACAUACGACACUAUGUUAUAAACAAAAUUGGCAAAUAUUAAGCAAUUAAUAUGUGCGAAAAUAAAGUUUGAAAAUUGAUAAGUUUUGAAUAGGAAUUUUUAUUUUAAAAAAUGUUUGUUUCUUUAUAGGGAUGAUGCCACGAUAUUAUUGAUCGUGCUCCUCCACCAUAGAAACAAUUUUGAUUUGAGGUCGGUCUAAAAAUAGUUAUGUUUUGAAAAAUGAUUUAAAAUAUUUAGUUCACACGUAGGCACAUAAACAAUUACAUAUAAAUGCACAUAAUUCUUUUUGAAAUUCAUGGGAAGUGGUACUUCCGGGGACGCAUCGGUUUUAAAAAAUUGGAACUAGACCUCGUAGUUCCUUUGACUUUCCCACUAACGAUAGGUUAGGAGAUAGUACUUUAUAAUUUAUUUCAAAAUAAAGUAGAGUCAUAAUCAAUCCAAAAUUUAAAGAAAGAUUGAAUAAUGACUUUUUUUAAAAAAAAAAUUAUGUUACAAGGUUUUGAAAUGUUUUUUAAAGCCAAGUUAAAUGCAUGAAAUGAUUCUAAGUUAGUAUUAAGAAGAAGAAAAAAUAUUGCAUCACGAAUGUGGAAAACAAAUAAGAUUACUAGUUAAAUAAUAUUAAUUAAUUUUAGGGGAGGACUCAAAUAUGCACAAACAAAUUUUAUUCUCUUAUUUACAAACCUAUAGACAUGAUUUCUAGGUGUUCAAAAAAAGUAACAUAUAUAUGCAUGAUUUCGUAAAUGGUAUGAACAAAUUAAACCUUAGACAUGGUUUCUACAUGAUAAGACAAAUGAGAAUUUAUAAUAUUUUAACAUCUAACAACCUACUAGAUUUAUUAGGAUUUGAUUUUAACAUUUAAAAAUUAAUGGACUCUAGUUCUUAUUUUUUUAAGGCUUGUUAACAAAAACGUCAAGCAAAUUGAAAAUUGAUUAGAUUAUAACACCUACAAAUAUCAAAUCUAGGUGGUUAAAGACAAACCUAUAGGCAUGAUUUCUAAAAAAAAUAAUGAGCAAGUAAGCAUAUAAAUCCCCCUCCCCUAGACGACCCCCAAAUAACUUUAUUAUAUGAUCUUAGGGUUACAAUUGUUACAACAUUCGAAUAAAUAAAAUAGCGGAAAAAAUAAAAUAUAUAGACAUAUAUACAUUCAAACAAAUAAACAAAUUCUUCUUCAGUUAAUCUUCAACUUGAACUUCAAAUAUGAAACCUGUUAAACAAAACAAAAUGAUUCACCUUGUACUCGAACAAAGCAGGAAAAUAGCGGAGAAAAGCACUUGAAUAUUUGCCGAAAUAUUAAUAUAUUGUUUAAAGUAGCAAGAGAGCAAUGAGAGAAGGGAGAGUGAUGAGAGAAUUUUUGGUUGAAAGUGAAUGGGUAUAUUUUAGAGAAUGAGAGGAGGGGGUCCUUUUUAUAUAACAAAGAGGGGUAACAAAUAAGGGGAAAAAUGUUUAAAGGAAUCAAUUAAUUAUCACAUUUUCCUUAUUUUAAAGGAGAGCCAAAUCAGAAAAUUUUAAAAUAUUUCAUUACCAAAUAUAAACAAGUAUAUAAUAACGAAUAGGAAAAUAGUAAUAUUUUCCCUUAAAUAAAGAAGAGACAAAUCAUAUUUUUUUUAAAAAUAUUUCAUUACCAAAAAUAAAUAAGUAAGAAAUACAAUUAGGAACAUUAACAUUAUUUUCCUUAAAUAGUGAAGAUCCAAAUUAAACUAUUUUAAAUUAUAAUUUUCCAGCUAUAUGAGUAGUAAGAAUCUAUAUAAUAUGCAAUUAACGGAAGAAGGAUCAAUUAAGUUAUAAUAAAAGGGAGGAAAUUAACACAAUUAUUUAUUUAUUUCUUUUAUUAAAAAUCCAAUGCCAAGUUACUGUUAAUCAACAUUGCACAUGUUUAACUCAAGGGAAAUUAUUUUAGGGAAGACAAUAUCACAUAACUUAAAGUCAAAGCCAACAUACAACUUCAUAUAAUUUUUACCGUAUAUAGACAACUAAUAAUCAACCACACUUAAUAAAGUAAAGUCAAGUCAGAAAUUGCAAACUCAUUUAAUUUUUAUUUUUAAAAAAAAAAACGAAUCAAAUCUAAGCUAAAGGAAUGAUCCUUCAAAGAGUGAGUUAUCACUCCCAAUUAAUAGCUGAAACCAGGCACCAUCAAUCACAAUAAUAUUGGAACCCAUAAUAUGUAAUAUCUAGGAAAAUAGCUAAGUUAACCGUCAUUCCAAGUCAAAAUGGACAAUAUUUCAAUUACACACCAAGUCUAAAAAUCAGAAAAUCACAGAUUUAAGAUCAAGAUAACAUGCAUAAAAUUUAUUCAUUCAGGCAGUCAGACAACCAAUUUUGUAGAAGAAGAACAAAUCUAUUAAAAGGUGAAAUGAUAUUUUAGGAAAAGAUUACCCGGACGGAUCUGUUGAGAUCCGUCAUUUCGAUCAAAACCCGGUCUAUCACCGGAGUUUUUUGGCUGAAGAUGCUAUGAUUUUGUUGUUGUUGCUGUGUUGUUUCGUAGCUAUUGCUGCUCCUGGUCCUAGUAAAUGAAAGAGGAAAAAAGGAAGGAGAAGAGAGGAUAAUACUUACCGGAGUUCCGCCAUCUCCGUGCAGCUGCUGGCCAGAUUCGCUGCUCGAGCGUUGCCAUUCGAAGCGGGCUGUGCAGGGCUACUGGUCUUGUUGUCUUUGCCAGCGGGAGCUUCUGCCAACAAUGGUGACCCUCGCGAUCGGCUGCUGGACGAAGCAAAUGUUGCUGCUCACCUAGCGCUGCUAUCAUUGCUAUUGAUUACCUCGCUUGGCACUACUGCUUCUUUGAGAAAAAGAGAAGAACAGGAGACAGGGAGAGGGAGAAGCACAGAGAUGAGAGGAGAACAGCGAGGGGGACGCAGCCUGGCGGAAGAGAGGAGAUGGAGAAGAUGGAAGUUGCCGGUGGAGUUGGGAGGGGGAGAGAGAGAGAAAAGCGGUUGAUCUGAGGGAGAAGAGAAGAGAAGGAGGGAGAAUUAUUUUUAGGGAUUAGAGUCCUUUGGUGUUGAAGAAAGAGAAUGGGAGAUUUAAUCACAACCGUCGAUUUAGAUAGAGACGAAGGGUUAGGAUUCGAUCUAGGAUUUAUUAAUUAAAUAGACGGAUGAGAUCAAAAAAUGAUUUCUUGAAAUAAGAUGAGUUAGAUACGGAAUGGCUAAAAUUGCAAUAACAUUUGGCUAGAAUUGGAAUGAAAGAGAGGCUAUGAUUGUAAGAAAACUCUAAUUCAUGUGGCUAGAAUUGGAAGAAAUUGGAAUAGAAUAGGCUAGAAUUUAAAAUUUAAGGAAAGUGUAGGAAUUACUAUUUAAUUAAAAUACUACAUAUAUUAAAAUAUUUUUUAUGUAAUUGAAAAUCAUUUAAAUUUUAACAUUUGAAAUUCAUUAAUAAUUUUAAAAUAUUUUAAUAAUAUUUACGAUAAUUUUAUAGAAUAAAACAUACUAAAAUAUAUGACUUUCAAGCAAAGUCGAUUAAAAAUUCUAAAAUUUAAAAUACGUAUUCAAUCGAAUAGUAUUUCUAAAAAGUUCAAAGGUCGGUCAAAAUUGGGUGUCAACAGCUGCCCCUUGGUUGAUUGAGAAUGAAGAAUGAAUUGCCAGGCAACCAAUGUUGACUUAGUAGCCGAUUUUGUCCGACCGACGAGAGAUGUCAGUUGGAUCAAUUAAAACGAUAUAGAGUUGAAAAAAGGUACGACCGAGACUUUGGUUUUAAGUCGCCUACAUAUCUCUGGUUAUACGAGAAUCAGGUCGUGUGUAGUUCUAGAUUCAAGAGCAAAUGAAACUCUUAAAAAUUGAAAGAGCGCUAAGGUAUUUGAAAGGCACGAAAUCGGCUUGAAUGGAUAAGAAUAGAGUAACGAGAAAAGAGAGAUUGAGAGGCUAAAAGAGUAUGACAGAGAAUCGAGAAGAGCAUGAUAGAGUAAGGCUAUCAGCCUUUGAGCGAGGGUUCGGAGUAUGAAAAACGAAGAAUUGAUAGGGUCAUUGUUGUGAUAGAGGAUAGCGUGAUAAUUGUAAUCAAGGGCGAUCGAUCAUAUCUGCAAAUUCUAGAUAAAAUGUUAGCUUAUAAAUAGAUAAAGUAUGACCAAUAAUAAUAAAAUAUGAGUUCUAAAUAGAAAAGAGGUGAUAAAAAGCGUAACUGUUUGAGACGUACUGCAAGCCUUGAUAGUCUGUAACUUCUUGAAGGAUUGAACCCAUCUCUGAAGAAUGACGUCAAACUCCAAUAGAUUUGAUACUAUAAAGAUAUAACAGUAUAGACGAAAAUAUCUAGUUAUAAGGAAAGUCUAAACGUCAUUUUAAGGCAGACGAGCCUAAGUGUCGUUUUAAGGCGGACAACCUAAAUAUCUUAUAAAGCGGACGAACAUAAAUGUAUUAUGAGGCGGACAAGCCUAGAUGUCCUUUUUAAGGUGGACGACCUAAAUGUCCUAUAAGAUGGACUAACCUAAAUGUCGUUUUAAUGCGGACGAGCCUAAAUGUCGCAUUGUAAGGCGGACGAGCCUAGAUGUCACAUUGUAAGGCGGACGAGCCUAGAUGUCGCAUUGUAAGGCGGACGAGCCUAGAUGUCGCAUUGUAAGGCGGACGAGCCUAGAUGUCGCAUUGUAAGGCGGACGAGCCUAGAUGUCGCAUUGUAAGGCGGACGAGCCUAGAUGUCGCAUUGUAAGGCGGACGAGCCUAGAUGUCGCAUUGUAAGGCGGACGAGCCUAGAUGUCGCAUUGUAAGGCGGACGAGCCUAGAUGUCGCAUUGUAAGGCGGACGAGCCUAGCUGAAGACAUAGAAAGUCACAGUGGCGAGUUGAAUCCGAAGAUAUCUUCAUGGUAGCCUGAAUGAUUGCGAAACAAUAGUUCGAGUAGCCAAGAAUUUGCUGUAGCCUUUGUGUGUAAGCAAAGGAACAGCCGUUCAGAAGGCGACUUUGUCUGUAAUCUGCAUAACUGUAACUUGUAGUAGAGUAAUUAGAGCAAAAUAAGCGGUGAAUGUAAACAUGAUGCAAUUCCCAUGUUUACCAUGAAUGUUUGCCUUAAGAUCGUGAAAAAAUGACGUCUUAGGCUAUGAUGUCUAGGGCCAUGAUAUGCAGGGUGUAUCCUCAGGUCAUGAAAAUGUUGUCUGUAGGCCAUGAAAAUGACGCCUUUAGACUAUGACACCGUCGGAUCAUGAUAGACAGAAAUUAAACCCUUAGGCCAUGAUAUGAUGUCCGCAGGCCAUGAGGAUGAUGCCUUUAGACUAUGACGCCUUAGGAACAUGAUAUGCAUAAAAUAAGUCCUCAGGCCAUGACAUGAAGUCCGCAGGCCAUGAAAGAUGACGCCUUUGGAGGAUGACGCCUUUGGAAUAUAACUAAUGAGUAAAGAGAGCGUAUCUGUUUUUUGACAUCUGUUGAUACUCUUGUGACUUGAUUUGAUUCGGGCGCAUGUAAACUUCGAGCACGAUGCAAUCUUGAGCUUAUGCAAACUUCGGGCACAAUGCAGUCUCAGGCACGAUGCGAUGGUGCAUUUCUUCGGGCACAUGCAAUAUCGAGCACAUGCAAUGAUGCAUUUCUUAGGGCACAUGCAAUAUCGAGCACAAUGCGAUGAUGCACUUCCUCGGGCACAUUGUAAUAUCGGACACAUGCAGUAUCGAGCAUAUGUAAUGGUGCAUUUCUUCGGGCACAUAAAAUAUCGAGCACAUGCAGUAUCGAGCAUAUGUAAUGGUGCAUUUCUUCGGGCACAUAAAAUAUCGAGCGCAUGCAAUAAUGCAAUUCUUCGAGCAUAAGUCAAUAUUGGGCAUAUGCGAUGAUGUGUUUCCUCGGGCACAUGAAAUAUCGAGCACAUGCAAUGAUGCAUUUCUUCGGGCACAUAAAAUAUCGAGCGCAUGCAAUAAUGCGGUUCUUCGAGCAUAAGUCAAUAUUGGGCAUAUGCGAUGAUGUAUUUCCUCGAGCAUAUGAUAUAUCGAGCACGUGCAAUAAUGUGUUUCUUCGGGCUCAUGCGAUAUCAAGCACAUGAAAUGACGCAUUUCGACAUUCUUGGGCAUAACAUAAUGAUGUAGUUCUUUGAGCAUAGGGUGAUAUCAAGCGUAGGUGCGAAAUGAUGCAAUAUCGGGCAUAAUGUAAUUUGUCAGCACAGUAGUUGCUUGAGGGCAUACAGUAGCUUGGGCGUCCGCCUUAUUGGAAGGAUCGAGUGUCAUAUGUCGGGCUCAAAUGUUGUGAUGUUGAUUGUUGCAGUUGCCUUUGUAUAUGUACCUGUAUUUUCUACAUUCAAAGAAAAAUAGUUAGUUUAAACGGGGGAAGGUUGAUCUGUAUCCGUGAUUUGGCGCAGCGUGCUCCUUUGGCUUGCCAUCCACACCUCUUCGAGCGUCUGUUUUUUUUCAUAAAAAAAGGGAAAGGAGAGAAAAAAAAAUAAUAAUAAAAACAAAACUUUCAAAGAUUUUGAAAUUAUCAUUUAAUAAAAGCUGAUGUCGAAUCUUUGACCAUGGCAUAGGUUGAGACUUUACAACGUCUGACUCAAAAGUGGAGCUAUCAUUUAAUCUUCGUUGUAAGCUGACUGCUUGUUGAGAAGAAACUUUUGGUGAAAUUUUGAGUUUACUCAAAAUUUCUGUCCCAGUAUGAAGAUGUGCCAGGAGAAGUCUUGAUGGAAUUUUUGAGAUCCUCUCAAAAAUUCUGCCCCAGUUAUCAGUAGAAAAGGGGGAAAUGAAAGUUUUAUUUAUAAUAAGACCGAACCCCAUAGGAGCGCCUACGUAUCCCCUCUUAAAUGGGAAUCAGGUCUGACGUAGUUCCAAAUUACAAAAGAGCAUGAAUAAAUCUCUAGAUGUAAUAUUUUUUCACAGAAUCUGAAUUGAUAGGUUUUGGCCAAACUUCUCCAUCCAUUUCUGCAAGUAUGAGGGCUCCGCCUGUCAGUACUCGAGAGACUAUGUAUGGACCUUGCCAAUUUGGUGAAAAUUUACCCUUUGCCUCGUCUUGAUUUGGAAAAAUCCGCUUCAAAACCAGUUGCCCAGGUGAGAAAUGUCUGGGUUUAACCUUCUUGUUGAAAGCUCUGGCCAUUCUAUUCUGAUAGAGCUGACCAUGACAAAUGGCGUUAAUUCUUCUUCCAUCUAUUAAUGCCAAAUUCUCUGCCCGACCUCGUAUCCAAUCAGCAUCACUCAACUUUGCUUCUUGGAUGAUCCUUAGGGAAGGUAUCUCAACUUCGGCGGGUAUCACAGCUUCGGUGCCGUAUACUAAGAAGUAAGGUGUGGCCCCUGUGGAAGUUCUGAUUGUGGUACGAUACCCCAGCAAUGCGAAAGGUAGCUUUUCCUGCCAGUGUUUGUGAUUAUCGAUCAUCUUGCGCAAUAUCCUUUUGAUGUUUUUGUUUGCCGCCUCAACAGCCCCAUUCAUCUGUGGCCUGUAUGCUGUAGAGUUUCGAUGACUGAUCUUGAACUUCUCACACAUUGAUCUCAUCAGGUCACUGUUUAGGUUAGUGCCGUUAUCGGUGAUGAUUGACUCAGGAAUUCCAAACCUACAAAUAAUGUUGUUUUUGACAAAGUCAUCCACAACUUUCUUUGUCACUGAUUUAUGGGAGGUGGCCUCAACCCACUUGGUGAAAUAGUCAAUUGCAACAAGAAUGAAUCUGUGCCCGUUGGAUGCUGUUGGUUCGAUUGGACCAAUGACAUCCAUGCCCCAUGCUGCAAACGGCCAAGGUGAACUAGUGACAUGGAGUUCGUUGGGAGGUACUCGAAUCAUAUCUGCGUGAGUCUGACAUUGAUGGCAUUUCUGGACGUAGCGAAUGCAGUCUGUCUCCAUAGUUAGCCAAUAAUAUCCUGAUCUCAGAAUCUUCUUUGCUAAUGUAAAACCGUUCAUGUGAGGGCCACAGGUGCCUGCAUGUAUCUCUUCGACCAGCCUGCGAGCCUCUCUUGCUUCGACGCAUCUUAGCAGUCCCAAAUCGGGAGUUCUCUUAUAGAGUAUUUCCCCACUUAAGAAGAAUUGGGUUGCUAACCUUCGAAUUGUACGCUUUUGUACACUUGUUGCAUCUUCUGUGUAUUCACCACUCUUCAAAUAUCUUCUAAUGUCAUCAUACCAGGGCUUUCCAUCAGGCUCUUCCUCAACAUGGAAACAAUAAGCUGGUUGUUCAUGUAUAUGAAUGUGAAUAGGAUCGAUGUAAUUGUGAUCAGGGUGUCGAAUCAUAGAAGACAGAGUGGCUAAGGCGUCUGCAAAUUCAUUUUGGACCCUUGGUACAUGUCUAAAUUCUGUUUUGACAAACCUUUUACAUAGCUUGUGCACGCACUCCAAAUAUGGUAACAACUUUCGAUUUUUUGUUGCCCAAUCACCUCGAACCUGAUGGAUCAAUAGGUCUGAAUCCCCUAUUAUUAUCAUUUCCUGGACAUCCAAGUCGAUCGCCCGUCGGAGACCUAGUAUGCAGGCUUCGUAUUCGGCCAUAUUAUUUGAGCAAAGGAAUCUGAGUUUUGCUGAUACUGGAUAAUGUUGCCCGGUGGGUGAGAUCAAAACAGCCCCAAUGCCGCAUCCAUUCAGAUUUUUAGCUCCAUCAAAAAACAUUCUCCAUCCAUCAUAUUCUUCAGAAAUGUCUUCUCCCACAAACGCCACCUCUUCAUCUGGGAAGUAGGUCUUCAGCGGUCUGUAAUCAUCGUCCACGGGAUUCUCUGCCAUAUGGUCUGCUAAUGCCUGUGCUUUCACUGCUUUUUGCGUGACAUACACUAUGUCAAACUCACUCAACAGUAUCUGCCAUUUUGCCAGUUUACCUGUGGGCAUAGGCUUUUGAAAGAUAUACUUCAAAGGAUCCAUCCUUGAAAUCAGAUAAGUGGUAUGCGAUGAGAGGUAAUGUCGUAACUUUUGGGCAACCCAUGUUAGAGCACAACAGGUACGCUCUAAUAGAGAGUAUCGGGCUUCGCACGAUGUGAACUUCUUGCUCAUAUAAUAUAUUGCUUGCUCCUUCCUCCCUGUUUCAUCGUGUUGUCCCAAGAUGCAACUGAAAGCAUUAUCCAAUACUGAAAUAUACAAAAGUAAUGGUCUACCUGACUCUGGUGGCACCAAUACAGGAGGAUUGGAUAGAUAAUCUUUGAUCUUGUCAAAUGCCUGUUGACAUUCACUUGUCCAUUUCACUGCAGCAUCCUUUUUUAACAGCUUGAAGAUAGGUUCACAGAUGACAGUAGACUGAGCAAUGAAACGACUGAUGUAGUUAAGUCGCCCCAAGAAACUCAUUACCUCCUUCUUGUUCUUUGGUGGGGGAAGAUCACGAAUGGCUUUGAUCUUUGACGGGUCCAAUUCUAUACCUCGACGACUGACAAUGAAACCUAAAAGCUUUCCAGCAGGCACACCGAAGACACAUUUUGCCGGAUUCAGUUUCAGAUUGUACUUGCGUAGCCUGGCAAAGAAUUUCCGUAAAUCCUCCAAAUGAUUUAAACUUUCCUUUGAUUUGAUGAUGACAUCAUCCACAUAAACCUCAAUUUCCUUAUGGAUCAUGUCGUGAAACAAAGUAGUCAUCGCUCUCAUGUACGUAGCUCCAGCGUUCUUUAGUCCAAAAGGCAUCACCUUGUAGUUAUAGACGCCCCACGGCGUGAUGAAAGCGGUUUUCUCAGCGUCGUCUUUGUGCAUCUCAAUUUGAUGAUAGCCGGCAAAGCAAUCCACAAAUGACUGAGUUUCGUGCUUAGCACAAUUAUCAAUCAGUAUGUGUAUGUUUGGUAAUGGAAAGUUAUCUUUAGGGCUAGCUUUAUUGAGAUCUCGGUAAUCCACGCAAACUCUGACCUUGCCGUCUUUCUUGGGCACUGGAACGACAUUUGCAAGCCAAGUUGGGUAUUCUGUCACUUGGAGUAUCCCAACAUCUAAUUGCUUUGAUACUUCUUCUUUGAUUUUCAAACUCAUCUCGGGCUUGUAUUUUCUCAGCUUCUGUUUUACCGGAGGACAUGCUGGAUCAGUGGGUAGUCGAUGGGCUACGAUUGCAGUACUUAGCCCUGUCAUGUCUGCGUAGGACCACGCGAAAAUAUCCUUAUUCUCUAUGAGAAACUCGGUAUACUCUUUCUUGUCUUCUUUUGUCAUAUGGAUGCUUACUCGGGUUUCUUGUAUCACCUCUGCAUUUCCCAAAUUCACCACUUCUGUCUCUACCAAAUUUGGAUUGGGUUUUUCCUCGAAUUCCUCAACCCUUUUGAUUAACUCCUCGGGAACCUCAUUGUCUUCGACUUCUUCUAAGUCAUUAAGGUUAAGCUGAGCAGUCUCAUUGUAUGCCACAAUCUCAGAUUCGACAUUUUUAUAAUGAAUUUUGCUGGUGAGAAGAAAGAAAAAAAAAAUAGUAAAAAUUAAAUACAAGACAAAAAAAAUGGGAAAAGAACUUUAUUGAUAAAGAUUUGAAAAUUUCAUAAGUCCUCAUUUGAAAGCAAUACAUGGGACGGGAAUUAAAACGUUUAUUAAAACUCCUUUAUUUGAAUUAAAAUUUGAUAGAAAAACAUCUUCCAAGGCUACCCAGAUGCUCGACGAGGUCUGGAUGGAGUCGAGGUCCAGUUGCUGACGCUGAUCUUUGCCUCCUUGCUUCCACUAGGGCCCCCUUUCUCCUCCUCGUUGAUCACGACGUUGCAAACUUUCCCUUCUUCUUUGGUUAGCGAUAACCCCUUCAAGUCGUCUGAGAUCUCAUCAAUAUUGUCUCCCAUGAAACCUGCUGAUCGAAAUGAUUGAUACAAUGGCGGUAUGGGUUUCUUCAAUGGAUAGUAGUACCCAUCUCUAGGUGGUCGCCAAUCGAGCCAUUCUUCGGUGGUGUAUUUAUAACCCAAACCAAAAGUGGUGGAAUGUCGAACAGGCUGUAUAGGUUCGACUAUCCCUUGUAAUUUAGCCCCCAAACCUUUCCCAAGCUCGAAACCGAACCAGGCCAUCAUAUCUAUGAUUUUUUGGCUGAACCAAGGUUGCAACUCAAUAUUACCAACAAGCUCCACUGUAUGGUACAUUUCGCCAUCCAUAUUCUCUCUUCCUUCAAUCGUGUAUACAGGAUGCCCUUUUUCCCCAUGGACCACAACCUCUUCGUAAUCCCAUUCAAACUUCAGGCAUUGGUGAAGAGUAGAUGGAACCGCUCCAGCCAUAUGAAUCCAUGGACGACCCAAUAAUAAGUUGUACGAUGAAGGGAUGUCCAAAAUUUGGAAAGCUAUGGGGAAAGUGACAGGACCAAUGAGCAUGUCCAAGGUUAUCUCCCCAAUAGUGCCUCUCUGAGAGCCGUCAAAUGCCCUCACAUUCAUCUUCCAUGUCUGAAUUUUUGCACUAUCCACACCCAGCCUCGUCAGUGUGCUCAGAGGGCAAAUGUUUAAACCUGAACCUGCAUCAACUAAUGCUUUGUUUAUCACCUUAUCCUGAUACUGAACCGAAAUGUACAAAGCUUUAUUGUGAGUUGUUCCUUCGAUUGGCAGUUCAUCUUUGUGAAAAGAUAUUUUGUAAGCCUCAAAGACCUGCCCCACCAUUUGGGAUACCUCUCCAUGAGUGAUGUUAGACGGGACAUAAGCUUCACCAAGGAUCUUCAGAAGGGCAUCUCGAUGAGUUUCGGAAGAUUGUAGUAACUCCAGAAUUGAUAUUUGGGAAGGGUUUUACUCAGCUGCUCAAUGACAGAGUAUUCUUUAGCUUUAACCUUUUUCCAAAUACUUUGAUCCUCGAGCUCUACGAUUGGCGCUUUGGAUUUGCUAGAGCUUCCCUGAACCAAAUUUUCAGAAGUGUAAAUUCUUCCAGAUCUGGUGACCCCUGUUGCAACAUCUGUCUCUUCCACAUUUGUUUCUCUUUUGUUGUAAUCCCAAGGUACAGCAUGUGUGUCACAUUGUAUGGGGAGGAUGCCUUAUAGACAGCGAAUGGUGGUCUGGGUGCAGCAACUUCUACUUCAAAUGGGGCGAGUCCUUGCACUAUUAGUGGUGCCUGGGCAGUGGUAGGCAUGGCUUCCUCUGUUUCGACGGCCCAGAUAGAUUCUUCCCAAUCCCAGACAUCACCAGCUUCCACCAUGUUGACUUGAUGGUUAGGGAGAGGAUUAUUCGCAACAUUCGGUGUAGGAUCCUUCAGUUGGAUGGUUUUUGUAUCAAUCAACAUUUGAACCUUAUCCUUAAGGGCUCUGCAAACUUCGGUGGUGUGGCCCUUCAUCCCAGAAUGGUAGGCGCAGACCUUGUUAGGGUCGUACCAUUUCGCGCGAACGUCCACAGGUAAUGCAGGAAUUGGAGAGACGUACCCAGCUUGUUUCAGUCUCUCAUAAAGUUGUGCUAUGGGUUCAGCCAAAGGGGUAUAGGUUUUUGUAGGUCUUCUUUCAUAGGAAGGUCUGUUUCGGUAAUUUGGUGUUUGAGUGGGUGGUGGAGUUUGGAAGUGUGUUGGUUGAACAUUAUAGACAGGAUAUGAGGCAUGCAAAUAUUGAGGAGGAGCAUUUUGGUAAUAUAUUGGCAUGGGUUGGGGAGAUAUAGGGGUGGAGCUGAGGGAUGUUGAGGGUAUGGGGUGUGAGGUAUGGGUGUGAGGGUAUGGGAUGGUGGUGGGUUUGUUGUCUUGUGCCUCAAAGGGGUCCUAGUUCCAUGAGCCAUCAUUACAGAACCUGUUUUCUUUCGACUCUCUGUCAUUCCACCAGAUUGCAGAGCCUUGUUGGUUGCUUGUAAAGCCUCCAAGUUGAUGAUAGUCCCAUUCUUUAUGCCUUCUUCAAUUCUUUCGCCUAGUUUGAUGAUUUCAGCGAAACUCUUUUCAGCCACCAGCAUCAUUCGGUCAUAGUAUUGUGGUUCUUGGGCACGGAUGAAAUAGUCUUUCAUUUGAGAUUCUUCCAUAGGGGGUCUGGCCCUAGCCGCCUCAGACCUCCAUCUUAUGGCAUAUUCUCUGAAGGAUUCACUUGGUUUCUUCUUUAGGUUCUGAAUGUAAAACCAAUCAGGCGCAUUUUCAAUAUUGAAACCAAACCUAUUCAUGAAGUCAGUUGCCAUAUCAACCCAUUUUAUCCAUUUCCGCGAGUCUUGCUCAAUGUACCAUGAUAGGGCCUCCCCAGUAAGACUCCUCAUGAACAACUUCAUGAGUAUCCUCUCAUCUCCCCACCCCUACAAGUUUGUCGCAAUACAUUCGUAGGUGGGCUUUGGGAUCCCCAAUGCCAUUGAACGUCUCAAACUUCGGAAGCUUGUAUCCUUCGGGCAGUUCCACAUCAGGAUGCAUGCACAGAUCCUCAUAGCCCAAUCCUCCAACCUUUUGUUUCCUUCCACGUGUUGUACCCUGUUGGUCAAGUUGUCUAAUCUCUCAGUCAGGGUUUUUAUUAAGAUGUCUUUCUGAUGGGACUCUGACUCAUGGAGGUCAUGAGUCAGAGGGGCAGUUUCAACGUAUAUGGGAUUGGGAUUGUUGUUCCCAAAAGUAUGUGGGAUAUUUGUGUUUGGGGUUGUUUCUGGGACAGUUGGUUUGGUAUGUUGGUAAUAGUGGUGAAAUGGAAAUUGGGUAUUUUGGGCGUGGGGUGGUGGAAAGGCAUUUGGACGAAUGGGUUCAGGUGGGGAUAUAUGGAUUGGAGGAUUGUCUGGCGUGGCUGUUUGAUUAGGAGGAUUGUCUAUGUUUUCUCCAAAUUGGGUUCCAAGAGAGAUAGACAACUUGGCCAAAUCACGCAUGUUGGCUACCUCUUCUUCCAAUUGCGAAAUCUUGCGCUCGAGUCUUAGGAUAAGAUUAUUAUGAAGUUGUCCUCCCUCAGAAGCUUCUACCCUUUCAGUGGUGCUGUUGUCGUCAACCAUUUUUCCUUUGUCUUUUGAGCUUGCUCUUUGAGAAGAAGGAGAAGGGGGGUCCCUUUUGAUCGUGUAUGUGCCAGGAUGAAGGACAGAUCAACCUUAGGAAAUGGGAAAACAAUAGAAUCAAAAGAAAAGAGUUAGGGGUUAAGAUAAUAUCACAAUAUCAACACGUUGUUUUGAAAUAAACGCCCUAAAUGCAAGGAACCUCGUUGAGCCAGAGGUAGGCCUAAGCGACACAUAAGUGAUGCAUAAUAAUUAAUUCAAGCCUUAUUUGCCAAUUUGGAGUUUAGAGUUAGAUAAUAGAACAACUUUCGAUUAUUGAAAUAAUUUCUGUUUAUUACAUCAAUCUAAAGAUAACUAAAGGGCUAGGGAUAACAUAUGGGGAGUAAAGAGAAAUUAAAAUAAAAGCUUUAAUCAUGUUGCUCUCCAAUGUUAGGCACAAUCUGCUUCUUCAUUUCUAGGGUAAUGUCAUAAUCAGUGUUGAGGAGGUUGCGAGCCCAUCUUCUCUCUUUUUCAUCGCCAAAACCAGGAAGACCUCCUUCGCUUAAAUCUCUAUGCUCUGCAUCUUCUAAAAGCCAUACAUAAUAUUCAGGUGUGCAGAAGGGUCGGUGCUCUUGAACAUCGAUAGUUAUCACAUUCUUCCAUCUUCGCAGUAUGGUGUUCACUUGCGGUAAUUCUGACCCAAAGUCAUAUCCAUAGUGGCUCAUGUGGGAUCGUAGAGGUAUCAUUUGGAUCUGUCCGAAUUGUCGAAGGACUCGAAGUGGUGCGUAAGUUGCACACCGUUCAAACCGAUAAGCUCAAUGAAGUAAAGUUCAUUUCCUCUUAUGAUGGCACGUCGUGGCUUCAACCAAUAAUACUUCCAUUGGAUUUCAACGGCUGACCGCUCCUUUAGGUAUGUGAACCAGUCCUCUGUUCCCACAGGGGAGAUAAAAUGUUUCAUCCUUAGGGAUGGUUGAUAAUUUUGUUCCCCAUAGUCCCUCUGACGAUGUCUACUUUAUUAGCUCUUUGGUAGAAAUGUUCGACGGCCCAAAGUUGCAGCAGAAAGUUGCACCCUUCAAAGUAUCUUUUGCCUUUGGUGCAUGCAGUCAAAGCUCUUAGAAUUUCUGCGAGUAUCAUAGGGACCAAGGUUUUCCCACCUCGAGCCAACAUACGAACCACAUAACAUAAGCCGGUGUGGAUCUUUCUCCUUCUCUAGGAAAAACCAAUGAGCCUAAUAGGGCGACAGCGAAUGCAUUAAGACGAUACCUUUCCCAUUUUGCAGAAGAGCAAGCAAAUUCUCUAUGAAAGUUUUGAUGACCUUCCUCAUCCCCAAAGCGUGAAUAUAAGAACUCUAAAGAAAUCCAACCUUCUUUCAGACAAAGUAGAUUUGGAUUAUGACACAUGCCCAUUUGCUUCAAAAAGAUCUUGGACUUGGCUUGUGUGGAACAAUCAUUUCCAACUCUUUGUAUGCGAGACCCAUGAAUCCUCCAACUUCUUCUAUUGUUGGAGUUAGCUCAAAAUCCCUGAACUUGAAGACUAACCUCUCAGUGUCCCAGAAUUUCAACAAUGCCUUGAUUAAGUGACGAUCUGACUCUACGGAGAUCAAAGCAGUGAGGCCGCCUAACAAUUCAUUUGCUUCUAACUCUCGAUUUUUUUGAAUAUCUUUCCACCAAGUCUUCAAAAUGGGAUUAACUUUGACCACCAUUUGCGUGUUGGGAAAGUGGGGUGAGCCAUGACUCUGCAAACAAAGUAACAACAACUUCUAAACUCCAUUUUNNNNNNNNNNNNNNNNNNNNNNNNNNNNNNNNNNNNNNNNNNNNNNNNNNNNNNNNNNNNNNNNNNNNNNNNNNNNNNNNNNNNNNNNNNNNNNNNNNNNUGCAAAGAAUUUCCGUAAAUCCUCCAAAUGAUUUUAAACUUUCCUUUGAUUUGAUGAUGACAUCAUUCCACAUAAACCUCAAUUUCCUUAUGGAUCAUGUCGUGAAACAAAGUAGUCAUCGCUCUCAUGUACGUAGCUCCAGCGUUCUUUAGUCCAAAAGGCAUCACCUAUAGUUAUAGACGCCCCACGGCGUGAUGAAAGAGGUUUUCUCAGCGUCGUCUUUGUGCAUCUCAAUUUGAUGAUAGCCGGCAAAGCAAUCCACAAAUGACUGAGUUUCGUGCUUAGCACAAUUAUCAAUCAGUAUGUGUAUGUUUGGUAAUGGAAAGUUAUCUUUAGGGCUAGCUUUAUUGAGAUCUCGGUAAUCCACGCAAACUCUGACCUUGCCGUCUUUCUUGGGCACUGGAACGACAUUUGCAAGCCAAGUUGGGUAUUCUGUCACUUGGAGUAUCCCAACAUCUAAUUGCUUUGAUACUUCUUCUUUGAUUUUCAAACUCAUCUCGGGCUUGUAUUUUCUCAGCUUCUGUUUUACCGGAGGAUAUGCUGGAUCAGUGGGUAGUCGAUGGGCUACGAUUGCAGUACUUAGCCCUGUCAUGUCUGCGUAGGACCACGCGAAAAUAUCCUUAUUCUCUAUGAGAAACUCGGUAUACUCUUUCUUGUCUUCUUUUGUCAUAUGGAUGCUUACUCGGGUUUCUUGUAUCACCUCUGCAUUUCCCAAAUUCACCACUUCUGUCUCUACCAAAUUUGGAUUGGGUUUUUCCUCGAAUUCCUCAACCCUUUUGAUUAACUCCUCGGGAACCUCAUUGUCUUCGACUUCUUCUAAGUCAUUAAGGUUAAGCUGAGCAGUCUCAUUGUAUGCCACAAUCUCAGAUUCGACAUUUUUAUAAUGAAUUUUGCUGGUGAGAAGAAAGAAAAAAAAUAGUAAAAAUUAAAUACAAGACAAAAAAAAUGGGAAAAGAACUUUAUUGAUAAAGAUUUGAAAAUUUCAUAAGUCCUCAUUUGAAAGCAAUACAUGGGACGGGAAUUAAACGUUUAUUAAAACUCCUUUAUUUGAAUUAAAAUUUGAUAGAAAAACAUCUUCCAAGGCUACCCAGAUGCUCGACGAGGUCUGGAUGGAGUCGAGGUCCAGUUGCUGACGCUGAUCUUUGCCUCCUUGCUUCCACUAGGGCCCCCUUUCUCCUCCUCGUUGAUCACGACGUUGCAAACUUUCCCUUCUUCUUUGGUUAGCGAUAACCCCUUCAAGUCGUCUGAGAUCUCAUCAAUAUUGUCUCCCAUGAAACCUGCUGAUCGAAAUGAUUGAUACAAUGGCGGUAUGGGUUUCUUCAAUGGAUAGUAGUACCCAUCUCUAGGUGGUCGCCAAUCGAGCCAUUCUUCGGUGGUGUAUUUAUAACCCAAACCAAAAGUGGUGGAAUGUCGAACAGGCUGUAUAGGUUCGACUAUCCCUUGUAAUUUAGCCCCCAAACCUUUCCCAAGCUCGAAACCGAACCAGGCCAUCAUAUCUAUGAUUUUUUGGCUGAACCAAGGUUGCAACUCAAUAUUACCAACAAGCUCCACUGUAUGGUACAUUUCGCCAUCCAUAUUCUCUCUUCCUUCAAUCGUGUAUACAGGAUGCCCUUUUCCCCAUGGACCACAACCUCUUCGUAAUCCCAUUCAAACUUCAGGCAUUGGUGAAGAGUAGAUGGAACCGCUCCAGCCAUAUGAAUCCAUGGACGACCCAAUAAUAAGUUGUACGAUGAAGGGAUGUCCAAAAUUUGGAAAGCUAUGGGGAAAGUGACAGGACCAAUGAGCAUGUCCAAGGUUAUCUCCCCAAUAGUGCCUCUCUGAGAGCCGUCAAAUGCCCUCACAUUCAUCUUCCAUGUCUGAAUUUUUGCACUAUCCACACCCAGCCUCGUCAGUGUGCUCAGAGGGCAAAUGUUUAAACCUGAACCUGCAUCAACUAAUGCUUUGUUUAUCACCUUAUCCUGAUACUGAACCGAAAUGUACAAAGCUUUAUUGUGAGUUGUUCCUUCGAUUGGCAGUUCAUCUUUGUGAAAAGAUAUUUUGUAAGCCUCAAAGACCUGCCCCACCAUUUGGGAUACCUCUCCAUGAGUGAUGUUAGACGGGACAUAAGCUUCACCAAGGAUCUUCAGAAGGGCAUCUCGAUGAGUUUCGGAAGAUUGUAGUAACUCCAGAAUUGAUAUUUGGGAAGGGGUUUUACUCAGCUGCUCAAUGACAGAGUAUUCUUUAGCUUUAACCUUUUUCCAAAUACUUUGAUCCUCGAGCUCUACGAUUGGCGCUUUGGAUUUGCUAGAGCUUCCCUGAACCAAAUUUUCAGAAGUGUAAAUUCUUCCAGAUCUGGUGACCCCUGUUGCAACAUCUGUCUCUUCCACAUUUGUUUCUCUUUUGUUGUAAUCCCAAGGUACAGCAUGUGUGUCACAUUGUAUUGGGGAGGAUGCCUUAUAGACAGCGAAUGGUGGUCUGGGUGCAGCAACUUCUACUUCAAAUGGGGCGAGUCCUUGCACUAUUAGUGGUGCCUGGGCAGUGGUAGGCAUGGCUUCCUCUGUUUCGACGGCCCAGAUAGAUUCUUCCCAAUCCCAGACAUCACCAGCUUCCACCAUGUUGACUUGAUGGUUAGGGAGAGGAUUAUUCGCAACAUUCGGUGUAGGAUCCUUCAGUUGGAUGGUUUUGUAUCAAUCAACAUUUGAACCUUAUCCUUAAGGGCUCUGCAAACUUCGGUGGUGUGGCCCUUCAUCCCAGAAUGGUAGGCGCAGACCUUGUUAGGGUCGUACCAUUUCGCGCGAACGUCCACAGGUAAUGCAGGAAUUGGAGAGACGUACCCAGCUUGUUUCAGUCUCUCAUAAAGUUGUGCUAUGGGUUCAGCCAAAGGGGUAUAGGUUUUUGUAGGUCUUCUUUCAUAGGAAGGUCUGUUUCGGUAAUUUGGUGUUUGAGUGGGUGGUGGAGUUUGGAAGUGUGUUGGUUGAACAUUAUAGACAGGAUAUGAGGCAUGCAAAUAUUGAGGAGGAGCAUUUUGGUAAUAUAUUGGCAUGGGUUGGGGAGAUAUAGGGGUGGAGCUGAGGGAUGUUGAGGGUAUGGGGUGUGAAGGUAUGGGGUGUGAGGGUAUGGGGAUGGUGGUGGUUUGUUGUCUUGUGCCUCAAAGGGGUCCUAGUUCCAUGAGCCAUCAUUACAGAACCUAUUUUCUUUCGACUCUCUGUCAUUCCACCAGAUUGCAGAGCCUUGUUGGUUGCUUGUAAAGCCUCCAAGUUGAUGAUAGUCCCAUUCUUUAUGCCUUCUUCAAUUCUUUCGCCUAGUUUGAUGAUUUCAGCGAAACUCUUUUCAGCCACCAGCAUCAUUCGGUCAUAGUAUUGUGGUUCUUGGGCACGGAUGAAAUAGUCUUUCAUUUGAGAUUCUUCCAUAGGGGGUCUGGCCCUAGCCGCCUCAGACCUCCAUCUUAUGGCAUAUUCUCUGAAGGAUUCACUUGGUUUCUUCUUUAGGUUCUGAAUGUAAAACCAAUCAGGCGCAUUUUCAAUAUUGAAACCAAACCUAUUCAUGAAGUCAGUUGCCAUAUCAACCCAUUUUAUCCAUUUCCGCGAGUCUUGCUCAAUGUACCAUGAUAGGGCCUCCCCAGUAAGACUCCUCAUGAACAACUUCAUGAGUAUCCUCUCAUCUCUCCCCACCCCUACAAGUUUGUCGCAAUACAUUCGUAGGUGGGCUUUGGGAUCCCCAAUGCCAUUGAACGUCUCAAACUUCGGAAGCUUGUAUCCUUCGGGCAGUUCCACAUCAGGAUGCAUGCACAGAUCUUCAUAGCCCAAUCCUUCCAACCUUUUGUUUCCUUCCACGUGUUGUACCCUGUUGGUCAAGUUGUCUAAUCUCUCAGUCAGGGUUUUUAUUAAGAUGUCUUUCUGAUGGGACUCUGACUCAUGGAGGUCAUGAGUCAGAGGGCAGUUUCAACGUAUAUGGGAUUGGGAUUGUUGUUCCCAAAAGUAUGUGGGAUAUUUGUGUUUGGGGUUGUUUCUGGGACAGUUGGUUUGGUAUGUUGGUAAUAGUGGUGAAAUGGAAAUUGGGUAUUUUGGGCGUGGGGUGGUGGAAAGGCAUUUGGACGAAUGGGUUCAGGUGGGGAUAUAUGGAUUGGAGGAUUGUCUGGCGUGGCUGUUUGAUUAGGAGGAUUGUCUAUGUUUUCUCCAAAUUGGGUUCCAAGAGAGAUAGACAACUUGGCCAAAUCACGCAUGUUGGCUACCUCUUCUUCCAAUUGCGAAAUCUUGCGCUCGAGUCUUAGGAUAAGAUUAUUAUGAAGUUGUCCUCCCUCAGAAGCUUCUACCCUUUCAGUGGUGCUGUUGUCGUCAACCAUUUUUCCUUUGUCUUUUGAGCUUCUCUUUGAGAAGAAGGAGAAGGGGGGUCCCUUUUGAUCGUGUAUGUGCCAGGAUGAAGGACAGAUCAACCUUAGGAAAUGGGAAAACAAUAGAAUCAAAAGAAAAGAGUUAGGGGUAAGAUAAUAUCACAAUAUCAACACGUUGUUUUGAAAUAAACGCCCUAAAUGCAAGGAACCUCGUUGAGCCAGAGGUAGGCCUAAGCGACACAUAAGUGAUGCAUAAUAAUUAAUUCAAGCCUUAUUUGCCAAUUUGGAGUUUAGAGUUAGAUAAUAGAACAACUUUCAAUUAUUGAAAUAAUUUCUGUUUAUUACAUCAAUCUAAAGAUAACUAAGGGCUAGGGAUAACAUAUGGGGAGUAAAGAGAAAUAAAUAAUAAAAGCUUUAAUCAUGUUGCUCUCCAAUGUUAGGCACAAUCUGCUUCUUCAUUUCUAGGGUAAUGUCAUAAUCAGUGUUGAGAAGGUUGCGAGCCCAUCUUCUCUCUUUUUCAUCGCCAAAACCAGGAAGGCCUCCUUCGCUUAAAUCUCUAUGCUCUGCAUCUUCUAAAAGCCAUACAUAAUAUUCAGGUGUGCAGAAGGGUCGGUGCUCUUGAACAUCGAUAGUUAUCACAUUCUUCCAUCUUCGCAGUAUGGUGUUCACUUGCGGUAAUUCUGACCCAAAGUCAUAUCCAUAGUGGCUCAUGUGGGAUCGUAGAGGUAUCAUUUGGAUCUGUCCGAAUUGUCGAAGGACUCGAAGUGGUGCGUAAGGUUGCACACCGUUCAAACCGAUAAGCUCAAUGAAGUAAAGUUCAUUUCCUCUUAUGAUGGCACGUCGUGGCUUCAACCAAUAAUACUUCCAUUGGAUUUCAACGGCUGACCGCUCCUUUAGGUAUGUGAACCAGUCCUCUGUUCCCACAGGGGAGAUAAAAUGUUUCAUCCUUAGGGGAUGGUUGAUAAUUUUGUUCCCCAUAGUCCCUCUGACGAUGUCUACUUUAUUAGCUCUUUGGUAGAAAUGUUCGACGGCCCAAAGUUGCAGCAGAAAGUUGCACCCUUCAAAGUAUCUUUUGCCUUUGGUGCAUGCAGUCAAAGCUCUUAGAAUUUCUGCGAGUAUCAUAGGGACCAAGGUUUUCCCACCUCGAGCCAACAUACGAACCACAUAACAUAAGCCGGUGUGGAUCUUUCCUCCUUCUCUAGGAAAAACCAAUGAGCCUAAUAGGGCGACAGCGAAUGCAUUAAGACGAUACCUUUCCCAUUUUGCAGAAGAGCAAGCAAAUUCCCUAUGAAAGUUUUGAUGACCUUCCUCAUCCCCAAAGCGUGAAUAUAAGAACUCUAAAGAAAUCCAACCUUCUUUCAGACAAAGUAGAUUUGGAUUAUGACACAUGCCCAUUUGCUUCAAAAAAGAUCUUGGACUUGGCUUGUGUGGAACAAUCAUUUCCAACUCUUUGUAUGCGAGACCCAUGAAUCCUCCAACUUCUUCUAUUGUUGGAGUUAGCUCAAAAUCCCUGAACUUGAAGACUAACCUCUCAGUGUCCCAGAAUUUCAACAAUGCCUUGAUUAAGUGACGAUCUGACUCUACGGAGAUCAAAGCAGUGAGGCCGCCUAACAAUUCAUUCGCUUCUAACUCUCGAUUUUUUUGUAUAUCUUUCCACCAAGUCUUCAAAAUGGGAUUAACUUUGACCACCAUUUGCGUGUUUGGAAAGUGGGGUGAGCCAUGACUCUGCAAACAAAGUAACAAACAACUUCUAAACUCCAUUUUGGCAAUGUUGGCUUGAUUUAAUUAUUAUGAUCACGUUGACACAUAAAUAUGCAAUUUGUCUAAGGGUGUUGGGGCCCUUCAGACGAGAAGGUGGCUACUAAUUACAUGGAUUGACACCAAGGGUCAAACCUCCUAGGGCUUAUGCAGCAUAUAUGACUUAACCAGGACUUCUAAGAGUUGGCUUGACACGGACUUGAAAGGGAUUCUAUGCGAGAGGCUCGUGGCUUCGCGGUAGUAAAACUAUCCACUACGUCCACGCAUAUGCCGACUCUCUAUAAUGGGUAUUUGUAUAAGAUUGGAGUAGUUGUGAGAGGUGCAAAGGCACAACAUCACGAGAACAAAAUAAAAAGGAAGAGGGUCCCAAUUGGGGGAAGUAUGAGCGGGAUGCCAAUUUAUUAAAGCAGUAAACAUUUAGCAUUUAAAUUGGAAAACGGUAACAUAUAGGCAGUUUAUAAACAAUAAAUAAAUAAGCAUAAAUAAAGGAAAGUAGACAUAUAAAGAUAUGAAAACUACGCAAAUAAAGCAAGAGGAUACGAGAUUAAACAUGUAAACAAAUAAGGGGAGAGGGAAGAGGUGAAACAUGAUAAUAAACAAUUAAGGGAAAGGGAAAGGGAGGAACAUGAAGAUGAGAUAAUAAAUAGGGCAACAAAACAUAGUAAGCACCUAAUGAAUAAAAUAAACCCCACAUAAAUAAGCAGUUAACACGUAAUGGUAAGAACCUAACAUCCCCAGCGGAGUCGCCAUUUUGUCGCGCCCCAUUUUCGCGGAAAACGGGUUUUGUGCGCGACCUAACAACUCUUUUGGGAUUUCGAGUUUUUUGGAGUCGCCACCUAACGAAUUAAGGCGCGUUAGGGCGCCUAUCUAACCUAACUAAGUCUAACUAAGGUCAACGGGCCAGAGAUUAGGGUAAGGGUUCAAAUUACCUCGAAGGGAAGGUGUUAGGCAUCCCUCGAGGUCCACAAGUGUGGGUCCCGGCCGUAUCUCAUGCAAUCUAUGUGGGGGUACAAAUAGCAAUCAAGGUCGUUUAUUAAUUUAUUUAAUCUUACUAAGUGAUAACAAAUACGAAACAAUUAAGACUAUUAUUCUUAUUUAGAUAUGUAAAGCUAGGUGAUGGCAAUAAAUAUUUAUUUUGACAUACGACACUAUGUUAUAAACAAAAUUGGCAAAUAUUAAGCAAUUAAUAUGUGCGAAAAUAAAGUUUGAAAAUUGAUAAGUUUUGAAUAGGAAUUUUUAUUUUAAAAAAUGUUUGUUUCUUUAUAGGGAUGAUGCCACGAUAUUAUUGAUCGUGCUCCUCCACCAUAGAAACAAUUUUGAUUUGAGGUCGGUCUAAAAAUAGUUAUGUUUUGAAAAAUGAUUUAAAAUAUUUAGUUCACACGUAGGCACAUAAACAAUUACAUAUAAAUGCACAUAAUUCUUUUUGAAAUUCAUGGGAAGUGGUACUUCCGGGGACGCAUCGGUUUUAAAAAAUUGGAACUAGACCUCGUAGUUCCUUUGACUUUCCCACUAACGAUAGGUUAGGAGAUAGUACUUUAUAAUUUAUUUCAAAAUAAAGUAGAGUCAUAAUCAAUCCAAAAUUUAAAGAAAGAUUGAAUAAUGACUUUUUUUAAAAAAAAAAUUAUGUUACAAGGUUUUGAAAUGUUUUUUAAAGCCAAGUUAAAUGCAUGAAAUGAUUCUAAGUUAGUAUUAAGAAGAAAAAAAAAUAUUGCAUCACGAAUGUGGAAAACAAAUGGGAUUACUAGUUAAAUAAUAUUAAUUAAUUUUAGGGGAGGACUCAAAUAUGCACAAACAAAUUUUAUUCUCUUAUUUACAAACCUAUAGACAUGAUUUCUAGGUGUUCAAAAAAAGUAACAUAUAUAUGCAUGAUUUCGUAAAUGGUAUGAACAAAUUAAACCUUAGACAUGGUUUCUACAUGAUAAGACAAAUGAGAAUUUAUAAUAUUUUAACAUCUAACAACCUACUAGAUUUAUUAGGAUUUGAUUUUAACAUUUAAAAAUUAAUGGACUCUAGUUCUUAUUUUUUUAAGGCUUGUUAACAAAAACGUCAAGCAAAUUGAAAAUUGAUUAGAUUAUAACACCUACAAAUAUCAAAUCUAGGUGGUUAAAGACAAACCUAUAGGCAUGAUUUCUAAAAAAAAUAAUGAGCAAGUAAGCAUAUAAAUCCCCCUCCACUAGACGACCCCCAAAUAACUUUAUUAUAUGAUCUUAGGGUUACAAUUGUUACAACAUUCGAAUAAAUAAAAUAGCGGAAAAAAUAAAAUAUAUAGACAUAUAUACAUUCAAACAAAUAAACAAAUCCUUCUUCAGUUAAUCUUCAACUUGAACUUCAAAUAUGAAACCUGUUAAACAAAACAAAAUGAUUCACCUUGUACUCGAACAAAGCAGGAAAAUAGCGGAGAAAAGCACUUGAAUAUUUGCCGAAAUAUUAAUAUAUUGUUUAAAGUAGCAAGAGAGCAAUGAGAGAAGGGAGAGUGAUGAGAGAAUUUUUGGUUGAAAGUGAAUGGGUAUAUUUUAGAGAAUGAGAGGAGGGGGUCCUUUUUAUAUAACAAAGAGGGGUAACAAAUAAGGGGAAAAAUGUUUAAAGGAAUCAAUUAAUUAUCACAUUUUCCUUAUUUUAAAGGAGAGCC